UGGCAGUGAGGGUGGGGUUUCC
RNAcentral lists this microRNA (22 nucleotides) under Drosophila mojavensis. RNAcentral describes it as "Dmo-Mir-9698_3p* (star (passenger))". Lineage: Eukaryota; Metazoa; Arthropoda; Insecta; Diptera; Drosophilidae. RNAcentral also lists the same sequence under 1 other name. The record is from RNAcentral.